RNAcentral lists this ribosomal RNA (252 nucleotides) under uncultured bacterium. RNAcentral's name for it is "partial 16S ribosomal RNA". It matches the Rfam family "Bacterial small subunit ribosomal RNA", at positions 524 to 776 of the family's 1533-position model. The record is from RNAcentral.
UACGUAGGUCCCGAGCGUUGUCCGGAUUUAUUGGGCGUAAAGCGAGCGCAGGUGGUUUAUUAAGUCUGGUGUAAAAGGCAGUGGCUCAACCAUUGUAUGCAUUGGAAACUGGUAGACUUGAGUGCAGGAGAGGAGAGUGGAAUUCCAUGUGUAGCGGUGAAAUGCGUAGAUAUAUGGAGGAACACCGGUGGCGAAAGCGGCUCUCUGGCCUGUAACUGACACUGAGGCACGAAAGCGUGGGGAGCAAACAGG